UUUUUUUUUUUUGCUGACAGUGAAAUGAACUAAGAAGCUAGGGAGGAGCUAUCCUAGAUCAAAACUAAGAUCCCAGAUCCCAGCUCUCCUAGUAGUUUUCUCUUUGCAGGACCAAUCUUACAAAGAGACAGCAUACUCCGCUUUUUACUUAGUGUCAGUUGAGGCAUACUCUGAAAAGUUAUUUCCCCUAAAAUAGCUUUCAAAUUAUUAUGGUAUUUGAAUUUCAAGUUUAGAAAUUCUUUUUGACUCAAAGUACAAACUUCAUAUAAUGGUUAUGAUGUUUUUAGUAUACGUAUUUUUGUGACUUAUCUCUUUCAGCAAUAGAUACCCACAGUCAGCUCCUAGUAAAAUGGCUAGAGAAAGACUGAAAGAAAAGUUUAUAAAUCUGUGUAGGCAUAGAGUAAAAACACAUAAUGAUGCAUUACUAAUAUAAGAAUAAGGCUUCUUUGAUUUUGAGUAUCCUAACUCCAAACCUAGUGUUCUUUUCACUCCAUUAUCCUGCUGUUCAUAGCAAACAAGACCCAUAAUGAUACGUCUUUCAUUUAUUUCAGUUCUGCCAAGGAAAGAGAAAAUACCUUUUAAUCCCAGGGAAAGGAUUGCAAUCACCACAUUAUAAGCAUAACCUGAGGUUGGAGAGGACCACUUGGGAGCCUGUUAACCAAAACUAGAAGGUAACUUCUGGGAUGGACGGAGGUUCCCUUGAAGCAGUGCCAACCUAAAUCUACCUCAGGUAAGUAGUUAGAUUAACUUUUUCAAGAUUUCCGACCAAACAAGACAACUUGUAUUCAGUUGAUGUAUUCCUAUGCUUUAAUGUUUUUGUUUGCCCUUAAUUCUUAAAUAAACAUUUGUUCUGAAAAACUCCA
This is a long non-coding RNA of Cebus imitator (Panamanian white-faced capuchin), 863 nucleotides long. RefSeq lists it as uncharacterized. The transcript has 2 exons. The record is from RefSeq and is a predicted model, not a curated record. Lineage: Eukaryota; Metazoa; Chordata; Mammalia; Primates; Cebidae.